UACGUAGGGUGCGAGCGUUGUCCGGAUUUAUUGGGCGUAAAGAGCGCGUAGGCGGUUUGGUAGGUCCGCUGUGAAAACUCGAGGCUCAACCUCGAGACGCCGGUGGAAACCAUCAGACUAGAGUCCGGAAGAGGAGAGUGGAAUUCCUGGUGUAGCGGUGAAAUGCGCAGAUAUCAGGAAGAACACCCGUGGCUAAGGCGGCUCUCUAGUACGGUACUGACGCUGAGACGCGAAAGCGUGGGGAGCGAACAGG
Molecule: ribosomal RNA, 253 nt
Filed under: uncultured bacterium
Lineage: Bacteria
Description: partial 16S ribosomal RNA
Rfam family: Bacterial small subunit ribosomal RNA
Source: RNAcentral